AUUGAACGCUGGCGGCAUGCUUUACACAUGCAAGUCGAACGGUAGAGGGGGCAACCCCUUGAGAGUGGCGAACGGGUGAGUAAUGCAUCGGAACGUGCCCAGUCGUGGGGGAUAACGAAGCGAAAGCUGUGCUAAUACCGCAUACGAUCUCUGGAUGAAAGCGGGGGACCGAAAGGCCUCGCGCGAUUGGAGCGGCCGAUGUCAGAUUAGGUAGUUGGUGGGGUAAAGGCCUACCAAGCCAACGAUCUGUAGCUGGUCUGAGAGGACGACCAGCCACACUGGGACUGAGACACGGCCCAGACUCCUACGGGAGGCAGCAGUGGGGAAUUUUGGACAAUGGGCGCAAGCCUGAUCCAGCAAUGCCGCGCGCAGGAAGAAGGCCUUCGGGUUGUAAACUGCUUUUGUACGGAACGAAACGGUCUGGGUUAAUACCCUGGGCUAAUGACGGUACCGUAAGAAUAAGCACCGGCUAACUACGUGCCAGCCGCCGCCGUAA
RNAcentral lists this ribosomal RNA (496 nucleotides) under uncultured bacterium. RNAcentral describes it as "partial 16S ribosomal RNA". It matches the Rfam family "Bacterial small subunit ribosomal RNA", at positions 30 to 523 of the family's 1533-position model. The record is from RNAcentral.